UUGACUGCUAGAGCAUGGAUUUCAGGGAAAGUUUUUUUAAAUUUAAUAAUUAAAGUUAUUUUAAUUUGUGAAGAAACAAUUAUAUAAAUUAAGGACAAGAAGACCCUAAGAAUUUAAGAAUUCUUAUGUUACUUAAAUAUAAAAUAGGAAUUCUUAGUUGGGGCAACUAAAAAACAUUAUAAACUUUUUUUCUUUAAAAUGACCCAUUAUUAAUGAUAAUAUGAUUAAAUACUCUAGGGA
Molecule: ribosomal RNA, 240 nt
Filed under: Dermacentor reticulatus
Lineage: Eukaryota; Metazoa; Arthropoda; Arachnida; Ixodida; Ixodidae
Description: partial large subunit ribosomal RNA
Source: RNAcentral